Molecule: long non-coding RNA, 765 nt
Organism: Anguilla rostrata (American eel)
Lineage: Eukaryota; Metazoa; Chordata; Actinopteri; Anguilliformes; Anguillidae
Exons: 3
Source: RefSeq, a predicted model, not a curated record
UAUACGUCUGGGAGGCCUAUUUCGGCGUUGUACAACGUUCGGAGCAGUUGACAAAGGUAACUGAAAACGUCUACAAAUGUGGAUUUUAACGAAAGUGUAUUAAUUUUGAACAUAGGACCACCAAUGUUUACAAUGUGUACUGCUGACACUUGAGAGGCCGCCUUGCUUGAGUUCCUUUGGAGAAUCUGCCAGAACUACUACUAGUCGUAAUGACCAUAACGUGCCAACGUCAUCAACUCUUCAGUGUCCAUAAGAACACAGCAUUAACAGCUUUCAUCCACAAAACCUGGUCAAAUUUGGACCCGGGAAGUCACUUGCUUUUGCAGAGAAGGGUGUGACUGCUUUUCUCCAAAAGUCCACAACUUUGGAGAGGACAAUGAGAAGACCGAUGAGAAGAGGCUGGACGUUGGAAUGUGGGUACUCGUAGAGUACGACACAGAUCUCUACCCUGGUACAAUAACGCAGAUUGUUGGCGAACAGUACGAGGUAGACACAAUGAUUCGGGUAGGGGAGAACAGAUUUUUCAAUCCUGCAGUGAAAUACCCUGGGGACAAAAUCUGGUAUUUACCAGGAGACAUUAAAGAGGUCAUCCCAGAGCCACUUCCAGUGACAUCAUCCAGAAGGCAUUUCUGCAUUUUGCCAGAAAUCUGGGCAAAACAUUCUAAAUAGUGAUGGGAAAUGUUUUUAUAUGUGGUCGGCAAACUAGUUCCUGGCCAUUUCCAUGUUUGCUGAAAGUGUCACAAUAAAAUGUUCUAUUUUAAUUAA